RNAcentral lists this ribosomal RNA (492 nucleotides) under uncultured bacterium. Its description in RNAcentral is "partial 16S ribosomal RNA". It matches the Rfam family "Bacterial small subunit ribosomal RNA", at positions 29 to 507 of the family's 1533-position model. The record is from RNAcentral.
AGUGAACGCUGGCGGUAGGCCUAACACAUGCAAGUCGAGCGGCAGCACAGUAAGAGCUUGCUCUUACGGGUGGCGAGUGGCGGACGGGUGAGGAAUACAUCGGAAUCUACUUUUUCGUGGGGGAUAACGUAGGGAAACUUACGCUAAUACCGCAUACGACCUACGGGUGAAAGCAGGGGAUCUUCGGACCUUGCGCGAUUGAAUGAGCCGAUGUCGGAUUAGCUAGUUGGCGGGGUAAAGGCCCACCAAGGCGACGAUCCGUAGCUGGUCUGAGAGGAUGAUCAGCCACACUGGAACUGAGACACGGUCCAGACUCCUACGGGAGGCAGCAGUGGGGAAUAUUGGACAAUGGGCGAAAGCCUGAUCCAGCCAUACCGCGUGAGUGAAGAAGGCCUUCGGGUUGUAAAGCCCUUUUGUUGGGAAAGAAAAGCAGCAGGUUAAUACCCCGCUGUUCUGACGGUACCCAAAGAAUAAGCACCGGCUAACUUCGUG